Long non-coding RNA from Alosa sapidissima (American shad), 417 nucleotides. RefSeq lists it as uncharacterized. Lineage: Eukaryota; Metazoa; Chordata; Actinopteri; Clupeiformes; Clupeidae. The transcript is spliced from 2 exons. The record is from RefSeq and is a predicted model, not a curated record.
UUGACUUCAUUUUGAUCUGUUAAUUUGAUCUUUCUAAGUAUCAACACACACAUGCACGCACACAGGUGAGAUCACUUAGUGUGCAGUGCUCUUACACUAAAGGUUUGGGGCAAUAUGGCUGAAAUGCUAUGGAGAGGUGACUAGCAAUUUCAUUUCAAUUUUUCUUUUACAAUGAAUAAAGUGCAUCCUUACACACUUUUGCUUUUGUUCUUGCAUCAAAUACUAUAUUCAGUCUUGUUGUGAAUACCCUAUAUUAGUAUUAACACCACACUGUGAACAGAGGCGCCAGGAUAAAAUGUACACAGAAGAAUAAAACUCAGAUGCAGACAAGCCCCUGUCAUUGGCACAGGCGUUACAUAUUUAUGAGCAGCCCAUGUUUGGCACUGACGAAACCGAGAGGAAAUCUUUCUCCACACA